Molecule: ribosomal RNA, 429 nt
Filed under: uncultured bacterium
Lineage: Bacteria
Description: bacterial SSU rRNA
Rfam family: Bacterial small subunit ribosomal RNA
Source: RNAcentral
UGGGGAAUCUUGCACAAUGGGCGAAAGCCUGAUGCAGCGACGCCGCGUGUGUGAUGAAGGUCUUCGGAUCGUAAAGCACUUUCGGCCGGGAAGAAAAACCCUGUGGCUAAUAUCCACGGGGUGUGACGGUACCGGCAGAAGAAGCAACGGCUAACUCUGUGCCAGCAGCCGCGGUAAUACAGAGGUUGCGAGCGUUGUUCGGAAUUAUUGGGCGUAAAGCGCGUGUAGGCGGGAUAGCAAGUCGGGUGUGAAAGCCCUCGGCUCAACCGAGGAAGUGCGCCCGAAACUACUGUUCUUGAGUGCCGGAGAGGGUGGCGGAAUUCCCGGUGUAGAGGUGAAAUUCGUAGAUAUCGGGAGGAACACCAGUGGCGAAGGCGGCCACCUGGACGGACACUGACGCUGAGACGCGAAAGCGUGGGGAGCAAACAG